RNAcentral lists this non-coding RNA (29 nucleotides) under Rattus norvegicus (Norway rat). Lineage: Eukaryota; Metazoa; Chordata; Mammalia; Rodentia; Muridae. The record is from RNAcentral.
UGAAGAAACCACAAUUCACCCUACUGACC